Homo sapiens (human) is the source of this 2463-nucleotide long non-coding RNA. RefSeq lists it as uncharacterized. The record is from RefSeq and is a predicted model, not a curated record. NCBI's taxonomy places the organism in Eukaryota, Metazoa, Chordata, Mammalia, Primates, Hominidae. The transcript has 4 exons.
UGAGAUGCCAAAUAGCCGCUCACUCUUCCGCCUCCACGGACUGGCUUUGGUGUUCAUGCUGGUUGGGAUGUCUACUAUGGACCUGCUGAGCACAGGGCUGGGUUCCUGGGGCACAGAGUUGAUGCUUAUGGCCCAGGAACUGCUGGGCCCCAGGACUGGGCGGUUUCCAUGGUUGCUGCCACAGAAGCAGCAUUGCUGGAGUCAGUAGUGUGGCUGCCUUGCCAUGGCCGUGGUGGGUCUGCCUGGGGGUAUCUCAAUCCCGCAGAGUGCCAGGCAACCACUCCAGCCUGCUGUUGAAGGCCCCUGGCCACCCCUGGAGUUCCAGAAGUUUAAGAGACACACACAAAAUUAUCCAACCCAGAAGAAGAGUGCACUUCCAGGGACAAUUUAAGCAUUCAGCUGGUAGCAGUAAAGCACCUGCUGCAAGCCAAGUGCGUGGAUAGGAGCUGUGGUUACAACCCUGGAUGGGCCAGACAUUAUCCUCCUCUCACGGUGCUAGUGGUGACUGGCAAGGGAGCUGACUUCACAGCAUGAGGGCCACCUGGAAGGUAACCUGUCUCAGGUGGCAGGUUGGGGACUUGGGGCCAACCAGAUUUCUCCUCCUUUCUGUGUCUGUUCCCCUCCAUGAAAUGAAGAGUUUAAGAACCAGGGUGUUAUCUAACCACAUCACCCUGCUUCCAUAUUCAGACCCAGGGUCUGAAAGAAAUGAGAUGGAGACAAAAUGAAAGCAGAAGGUUGGAGGAAUGAAAUUCACAAUAAAACCUACAAUCUGCUCCUUGACCAAAAUGAUAGCUCAGGCACGCUGAGCACUCACUAUGGGCCAGGCGCUGUGCUAAGACCUUCACGUACUUCAUCUCACUCUGCCCUCUCAACAGCCGCAUUUUCCAGUUGACAGACUGAGGCUUGGAGAUGUCACCCUGCCCAGGGUCAAACGGCUAGUAAGUGGUAGAGCUGGGAUUCAGACCCCAGGGUGUCUGACUGUGGAGACUGCAAGGUCAGCUCUGCUCUGUUGCCUCAGCAGGUCUAUUCCUUGGAUUGAAAGAGCUCGCUGCAGUCUGAUUUCCCACAGAACAGUAGCAUGGAAAGAGUGGAGGAAGGCAGGGGAAAAUUCCCAGGCUGGUAGCUGGUGUUCUAUCUGCAAGGCUGCCUUAGCUCAAGCGGCCCCAGCCUCCGGGCAGCUGGUGGGAAGGUAAACUGCUGAAACUGAAGAUUUGCAAAACCCACCAUGCUCCAGUUAACGAGCCUCUUGGAAAACCUCUCUGAAGGUUCCUGGCAGUGUCCCUGUGGGAGCCAGCUCAUGUAUUUUAAGACAAAAAAAAAAUCAUUAAAGAAGUUAGGACUCUGGAGUGGCCGUAAAUGUAAAAUAUUGGUGGUUCGACAGUGUAUCCCUAGCAGCCGUAGGCAGAGUUCAUCUUGAUGAGCCAGAACCAUGUCCAAGAAAUGAAUCAUUUUGUUUUCCUCAGAGGGCUCCCCCUGAAUCUUCCCAGGCCGUCUGCUCCAAAGUUUUUAACUUGCCCACCUAGCUCAGGACCCACUAAGACCACGACUGCUCCUAGCCAGGAAAGGGAAUAGGGUUGGCAGAAUUGUAGAGCAAGCUGGGCCCCAAACACUUCUGGAACGGUGCCUGAGAGAUUCCAUUUUCCAGAUGGCCCCCAAGCCUUCCCUUACUUUGGUUGUUGGUAACCAUAACUGUCACACCAAAGGCACUUGUCUUCAUGACAUUCUGGAGGAGGGAGGUCAUGGCAUGUGGCACCUCUUAGGCACUCCGUGAGUGCUUGUGGAUGGUGGGGGCAAACACAUGGUUUGCAUGGUUUGGGCCUCCCACAUAUGGCACCUGCUUGUCUCUUUGGCUGAUGGGUGUCUUGGUUUCCCUUUGCCCAGCAAAGGUGGUACCACCAUCCAGCCAAUCUUUUAUUCUGCUCCCUCUUUCAUUUGGUGAACCAUAGUGAGGAUCCAGAUCUAGAGGAUUUAAAGUGUUGGGGACCCCCUGCCAGCUCAGAUCAAAUUUAAAGGUGUUGGGGACCCCCACCUGCCUCAGAUCAGAUUAAAGUCAGUGGCAGCCCAGGCCAGGAAUUGAGGCUAGAGGGGGGAUUUCCAAGGUCCCGCCCUAGCCCCCAGCUCCCACAUCCAGGGUGACUUCCAACAAACCACCUGACCCCUCCCCAUCCCCUCUUCCCAGCUUAGAGGCGGGGAGGGUGACAUUGAGCUUCGGCUCUGGGGCGUCCUAAGGGUUAACUAAUUAAUGGUCGGAAAGUGCUUUGAAAAAAUAAAGUGCUGGAUAAUGGGAAGGGCAAUUAUGUUGGGAGAAACUCCUAAUUUGGCUGGAAUUGAUGUUAAUGAUAAAGUAUCUGAAACAUGUAGCAAGCAAGCGUGAUUGUAUUUUAUAUGACAGAGAGAGACACUUACACGCAGGGGACACGGACAGCGGUUAAUUUGGUUAAAUAAAGUGAAAGAUAAAAGGAA